Molecule: ribosomal RNA, 325 nt
Filed under: uncultured eukaryote
Lineage: Eukaryota
Description: partial 18S ribosomal RNA
Rfam family: Eukaryotic small subunit ribosomal RNA
Source: RNAcentral
CCCUUAGAUGUCCUGGGCCGCACGCGCGUUACACUGAUGCAUUCAACGAGCUUAUAACCUUGGCCGAGAGGCCUGGGCAAUCUUGUUAACGUGCAUCGUGAUAGGGAUAGAUUAUUGAAAUUAUUAAUCUUGAACGAGGAAUUCCUAGUAAACGCAGAUCAUCAAUCUGCAUUGAUUACGUCCCUGCCCUUUGUACACACCGCCCGUCGCUCCUACCGAUUGAACGAUCCGGUGAAUUAUUUGGAGUAGCUCUGGAAGUUGCAGAACUUCCUAUGUCACGAAAUUUUGUAAACCUUAUCGUUUAGAGGAAGGAAAAGUCGUAACA